Salvelinus sp. IW2-2015 is the source of this 487-nucleotide non-coding RNA. The record is from RefSeq and is a predicted model, not a curated record. Lineage: Eukaryota; Metazoa; Chordata; Actinopteri; Salmoniformes; Salmonidae.
UAUUUAUAUAUCUGAGGUAGACAGAGACGGUAACGGAAUCAAAACCGGCAUUGCUUUUCCCAGUCUGCAAGACGAAGGUGAAGUCACUCAAUCCAGUCCCUGAGGCCUGUUGAGGGGACCAUACCAAGGACUCCUGGUAACAGCUAGCUGAAAGAGCUACCCGGAUUCAUAUCACACUGAGGGAGGGUAAGACACAUUGACACUGUCGAACAAGCACAGUGUCCGAGAGGAGAACUGGAAUUAACAGAAUUCCGGGGGCCAUCUCUCGGAUGAAGAUUUCCUUUUCCCGUCAUUCCAUUCCUGUGUUUGUUCGUAGAAGUGAAAGUGUGUCUGGCUUCUUGCUGAUGAUGUUUUCUCUGGGAGAGGGUGGGGCUUUAUAGGUGGGCGGUCCAUCCUGAGCUGUCUGGUUGUGGGAGCCAUAUUCCUGAUACACCAUGAACCCCAAGAAGGCCAGAGGGUAAUAUUGACACAUAGUUAGACAAUGAGG